This is a small nuclear RNA of Manis pentadactyla (Chinese pangolin), 163 nucleotides long. RefSeq annotates it as U1 spliceosomal RNA. Lineage: Eukaryota; Metazoa; Chordata; Mammalia; Pholidota; Manidae. The record is from RefSeq and is a predicted model, not a curated record. The transcript has a single exon.
AUACUUACCUGGCAGGGAGAUACUUGUGACCAUGAAGGUGGUUUUCUCAGGGCAAGGUUUAUCCAUUGCACUGUGGAUGUGCAGAUCCCUGAGAUUCCUGCAAUGUGGGAAACUUGACUUGCAUACUUUGUGGUAGUGGGGACUGUGUACAUGCUUUCUCCUG